AAUGAACGCUGGCGGCAGGCCUAAUACAUGCAAGUCGAGCGAGCGGCGGACGGGUGAGUAAAGCCUGGGAAACCGCCUGAUGGAGGGGGAUCACUACUGGAAAAGGUAGCUCAUACCGCAUACCAUCAGAUGUGCUCAGAGGGGAUUAGCUGGUAGGUGGGGUAACGGCUGACCUAGGCGACGAUCCCUAGCUGGUCUGAGAGGAUGACCAGCCACACUGGGACUGAGACACGGUCCAGACUCCUACGGGAGGCAGCAGUGGGGAAUAUUGCACAAUGGGCGCAAGCCUGAUGCAGCCAUGCCGCGUGUGUGAAGAAGGCCUUCGGGUUGUAAAGCACUUUCAGCGGGGAGGCGUUACCCGCAGAAGAAGCACCGGCUAACUCCGUGCCAGGCGCCGCGGUAAUUC
RNAcentral lists this ribosomal RNA (406 nucleotides) under uncultured bacterium. RNAcentral's name for it is "partial 16S ribosomal RNA". It matches the Rfam family "Bacterial small subunit ribosomal RNA", at positions 29 to 526 of the family's 1533-position model. The record is from RNAcentral.